RNAcentral lists this ribosomal RNA (253 nucleotides) under uncultured bacterium. RNAcentral describes it as "partial 16S ribosomal RNA". It matches the Rfam family "Bacterial small subunit ribosomal RNA", at positions 524 to 776 of the family's 1533-position model. The record is from RNAcentral.
UACGUAGGGUGCGAGCGUUGCCCGGAUUUAUUGGGCGUAAAGGGCGCGCAGGCGGCUACGCACGUCCGUUGUGAAAUCGCUCGGCUCAACUGGGCGGGGUCAGCGGAUACGGCGUAGCUGGAGCAAGCUAGGGGGCAAUGGAAUUCCCGGUGUAGUGGUGGAAUGCGUAGAUGUCGGGAGGAACACCAGUGGCGAAGGCGGUUGCCUGGAGCUUUGCUGACGCUGAGGCGCGAAAGCGUGGGGAGCGAUCCGG